Amphiprion ocellaris (clown anemonefish) is the source of this 2847-nucleotide long non-coding RNA. The record is from Ensembl. Lineage: Eukaryota; Metazoa; Chordata; Actinopteri; Pomacentridae.
GAAGAACUCUACAAGAAAAAUCUAUAUUUAUAAGCAAAACUUUUUUUGGCUGAUCUGACACUGGACUAGGAUGUAAUUUUAGUUAAUAUAUGAGUUUAAGGUGCGUGUAUAUUUUGGUAAUUGGAUUUUCCGUUCUGAAACGGGUAUUGAAAAAAAAACUAGUGGCUAUUUGAUUUUUGUUUUAAAAUACAAAAAAAUAAAAUUGAAAUACAAUGCUUUUUUCUUUUUCAUGAUCAAAAGGGGAUAUACGAAAUUUUAAAAAUGCUUUGAUUUUCAUUUUAUAUUUAGAAUAACAAAAAAAUAAAAUCAGUAAGACACAGAAACGAAAAAAGAUCCGUUUUUUCAUUUUCUGAGACCGGAAGUGGUCAUCAGCUAGCGUGGAGUCAAACGACAACAAGAUUCUCAGAGGGCGGAGCCAGAGAGCAGUGAUCGGUCAGACCAUAGAAGACAGCGAGCUAGCGUAUCUAGUCUGCUAUAUAUAUCUAUGGUCGGCACGUGUGGUAUCGUCUCUGGCUGCUGUUGACCUUGUUUUUGGAGUAAAACACGGUGGAAGCUGAAUUAGUGAGGAUGACUCCUGCUCCUGUCAUCUCUAAGCUCCUCACACAUCUUUACCUGCACAUGAGGAAAAUCACUCCUGUAGAAUGCAGAUGUUCAGAGGGAGAUGAUGCCACAUCUGGUCCAGCUGAUGGAAGGUCUUGAAGUUCUCUGACUGGCCUCGACUGAAGAUGGUCGUCUCACUGGAUUUAAGGUUCAGAUGCUCAGUAACAAACUCCACCAAUGUGCCAACAGGGAAGCUUUAGGUUUAUUACAUGUUGCUAUGAAGGUAUCGCUGUUUUUCUUUGUGAAUGCAAUGUGCUCCAACUGAAAGUUGAAUUACAACUUAGAAGUAAAUCCUUCCAUCUGAAAGGAUCUAGUUGGGUUAAUAACCCCAUAACAUUCUAAUUUUUAAAUAAUAGAAAUAGAAUCUCUGUAUUGAUUCAGGUAAAAACUGAACUUCACAGCAUGUUGGAGCAAAACAACCAGAUGAAAACUGUGAUGGUGUUGGAUUGUCAGACCGUAAUGUUGCAGCUCAAAGCAGCUUUUCUAGCUCAGUUCAUUCUGACAUUCAGCUAUGAAUCAACACAGCAGAUGGUGAUCCAUGCUGUGGAAGUCUCACAUCUCCUGAUUUAAUGGAGCUGCUUUGCACUUUUUACACUGUUUAUUCACCAACACUUUAUUUAAUAAAAGUCCCAUCUAGUUUUUAUGAGGAAUGUGAUGUUUUAAUUUCUCUGUGAAUAACUGCAGUCUAAUGCAACAGCUGGAGUUGUAACAUCUGUCCUGAUAUUGAUCAUGAAGUAUUGAUCAGAAUACUUAUGGUCAGCAGUCAUCCCUGAAGUUUUACAUUAAAAUCUUUACUUGUGUUGUAAACUUUGGUAAGAAGCAGAAACGUUAGCGUUGCCAUGGAUACAUGAGUGUUAAAUUCUGUCCAUGUUUCCAUUUUGGGAACUGCAGUCCAGCAGAUGAGUUUGUUUUUACUUACAGCUACCAUUCAGUCUGAGAUAUUAAGAAUAAAUAAAUGUGCAUAAUGUGGAAAUGAACAGAUUUUAUUUUUAUUUAUUCCUACAGCAAAUAUUAUCUGAAAGUCGGGUUAUUGUUGUUUAUCAGCACAAUACAAAAAGAUUUAUAUUAGAAAUAUUCCAGUUAAGGCUCUAGAAUGUCAUGAUUUAUGUAAAUUUACCUCAAUAAUAUGAAUGUUCAGGUUAAGAUUGUGCAGUGAUAUUUAUUCUGUAAGUUUAGCUGAUUGAAGUUUAUGAUGCUGCACUACAAUAUUAUUUAUUAUUUAAAUUUACAUCAUUAUUAUAAUAUUUAGGGCCAGACCCUACAGUAUUGAGAUUAAGAAAUCAAAUAAUCUAUAAAAUGUAAAUACACUGAACUCAUUUGGAUAUAUUUAAGUGAGACUCUACAAUAUUAUUUGACACAAAUCUAUCUAAAUCAGAAUUUUAAUCAUUUUUACUCCAAACAUUUACUGGACUGAUUUAAACAUUAAAAUCACUCCUUUCUAAUCCUCUGCUGUACGUUCAAACCUGAGGCCUUAAAUAGAAACACACAAGUAUCUGUUUGAAGGAACUUCUGCAGUCCUGGUUCCAGAACAUGAUGAUAGAAUUAUAGACAAACUUUAACAAAAGCUGCCUGAGAGUUUACAGGUUUUUAUGUUAGAUUUCUUCAGUAAUUUAAUGAGUUAUCAGCAAAAAUCAAGUGUUCAUUUGAUGAACUUCAUUUCUUAAAACAUCCAGAAUUGGAGCUCAUAUCUUUGGCAGCUGUAAAGUUUCUGCUCCUUCAAAGUUCACAACACAAUGAAUUAAUUCCUAAAACACUCUCAAUGCUGGAGAGCAUUUGAUGCUGAAGCAGUGACCAGUUUUUCUGUUUCUUCUCUGGAGAUGCACAAUGAGGGACGUCUGCAGUGACUGAGAAAGAGUCUCACCACAUCCUGACGUGAGGAAAAAGACUUUAUUGAAGACUACAAUGAGAAAAACUAUCAGACAGCAGACGGCUGCAUUCAAGGCCGCUGCACUCCUCCUCUGUUGUUUCCUGGAUUGUACUCAGCUGCAUGCCUUCGUCCACCCGGCCUCCGUUGACUCGUCCCGCCUGCCGUCUCUGGAGCUGAAGCUGGAUUGGAACAGACCAAAGUACAGUCCAAUCACGAUGCCAGCUGCCUCUCAAAAGGCUCCUUCAUCUGGCAGGUGGCAGCACUUCUUCUGAGGAGAAGCUGAGCUGGCCCGGCAGAACUUUGGAGAUGUGUUCCAGUGGUUGGUGGAUGUGUGGGGAGAUAGAGAGGGACCUUUGAAUUGUUCAGAAAGGAAAACAGGG